CAUCUGACUUUCUCAGGGUAGCACAUUAAAGCCAGGCAGGAGCCGAGGAGCUUCCUGUGAACACUCAGAGGCUGACAGGGAGACUGCAGAUCUGUGAUGGAGGAAGCAGCCAGAUGAAAGCAGCCAUGUAAGAAGGUCAUUGUGACAGGACUUGUCCAUCUGCUCUGCUGGAGUGAGGGCAGGCUGCUCUACCUAAGACAAGCUAGCAGUUGCUGCUGGGAGCAGGACCUGGCUUCAUAACCAAGUUCCAACAAGUACUGUACCGAAAGGGACAUAGCAGAAGUAGCAAAACAAACAGAAGAGGACAUAGGAAAAGAACAAAACACAGCAGGAGAGAAAGGACAUUAAAAAUGGACUUUAAAACAAAGAGCAUGGUCCAAGGAAACCAACUCUCAAAAAUCUUCUGAGAUUAUGGGUAGAGGACUGGAAAAUUGUCACCAUUUUGCUGGACAGCAGAAAUGUGCAUUUUCCGGUCCACUUCAUCAAUCACCUUGAUGCUGAGCUGAUGAGAUCCCAACAGAGUGACUGAACCACGAUUUACUUCACACCAUCGUGUCUGUCUCAGUCUUAAAUAUUUCUACCUAAGAUAUGCAGGUCAACUGAUGUGGGAAGGGCUCUUGGCCCUUGUUUAUGGAACUGUCGUCUAUAAGGGACUGAACUAGAAGAGCAAUUUGAAUGAGGAGAAGAGAUAAGAAUUCUAAAAAACAACAAAAUCUGGGGGAAGAAAGCCAAGCAGUCAUUGGGUGUCGACUCCUAGGAAAUUAAACUGAGAUGAGGCCAUCUGUAAUGGACACUAUCUUCUUUCUCCAGAGAAAACACAAAGAUGCAAAAGAGAAUAGUUCUAGAGAAAAGCUCCAUCCAAACCUAGAAGGAUUGGAGGAGCCCGCCCAGCCCAGUCUGUUUGGAGAACUAGAGGGGGGCUUAAGCUCUGCACUGGAAAAUGGAAGAAGCUGGUAGCUAUGGUGGGUGAAUGUCCCUGAGGCAGAGCAGGGGAGAGGAGAGAAAAACUACGAAGCCUGACCAAUGAACAGAGGACUUUUAAACACUAGACGUUCAUCACUGAAGCAUUCAUGCCAGUCAGUACCGCUACUGCAGUAAAGUAUGAUAUAAAUAGGCUGGGUGGUGGUGGGCACGCCUUUAAUCCCAGCACUUGGGAGGCAGAGGCAGGCAGAUCUCUGUGAGUUCGAGGCCGGGCUGGACCGAUAGCCUCGAAAACAAUAUAGAGAAAUCCUGUCUCGUAAAAACCAAAAAAAAUUCUUUGUGGAAAAGAAUCAUGGAGAAAGACUAUUUUCCAUCGUGAAGAUGAGCAAGAAGCAACAGCCUUGAAACAGAGCAGAGAACAGUGAACACCAGAAACUGGGUCAAGUGUGACUAUGACACGUAGGAACUUUUGACAUGUGUGGACAUCAUGUUAUGGGUGGCAGCUUUGCAUAAAUAACUUUAAAAAGAAGUGGGAGUGUUAAUCAGGCUUACGGUUUUGGAGACUCUAGUUCAGUUUGGAAGGAGCUCUCUUAGCUGCUGUUAUCAGGGUGAAGGUGCCUGUAUAGGGUACAGCUUGCAUGGACCAAUUAAAGCAGAGAAAGACCGGGUCUACAGUCCCUGCAAGCACAUGUCCCCAGUGACUCAGCUCCUCCGCAGGCCCCAUUCCCCAAAGUUUAAACCUUCAACCAUAAUGCACUACUGAGAAAGGGAUAAGUAAUUUUUACCAAAGCACAGAUUUCACUAGCUUUGCAUCUGGGAGCAUCCACCUGAGGGACAUGUCACCAAAUGCCUAACUUACCACACCAUUGACAUAAACAACGGUCCCUCUGAAAACUCUGUUGACUCUUUGGCAUGCAUGCAGUGAUUUCUGGGUGCGAUUUGUCUUUGUUCCUGUUCCUUAUUGGUCACCUAAGUUGGCUCGUGCUUUUCCAAACAAGAAAGAGCACCUGAUGGCGAUAGGCAGGAGCAGUGGGUGACCAACAGAAAUCAGAGGGAGUGUUUAAAUAAUUACCACGAUUCUGGCACAGUUGAUUUUGCCACUAGCCCUUCUUAAUUAGAAAUCAAACCAAGAUUCAGAGAAGAAAAAAGUUGUCAGAUUUGCUCUGAAGGAAACUCACAGGUGUUUGAACAAAAAGGAAUUAUGGGAGCAUCUCUAAGAAGUCUUCGACACUUGAAAAACAGACCACAGUCAAAAUCCUUGAUGAUCGUCUGAGCUUAUAUGAAUCCUAUGUGGGGACUGGUCAAAGGGCAAUUUUGUUACAGCCAGCUCAGACUGGUUUUGACAGCUGCCAGCAAAGGCAAAACUCUCCUAUAGGCCAGUUAGUGCAUCUGAACCCACCAGCUGUUGUGGCCCAUUUACUAAUGCGAAUAAACAAUGCAGCGGGAACCUUGAACUUCCAGUGCAUGAAAGGCCUGAGCCUUUUCUGAGCACUUGGGGCUGAUUGUGUGGUGAGGAGAUAAUGGAUAACAUAACUUCAUGCUUCUGUAAGCAACAAAUAAGAAAUCUAAGCCCAGGAAAAUAAAAAUAUCUGCUUGAGUCCUAAGUAUUCCCUUAAGAGAAUGUUUAUGAUAACUUAACGGUAUUUUCCAUAUGGUAAUCUCACUAAUAAAACAAAUGUGGAAAAGC
This is a long non-coding RNA of Mesocricetus auratus (golden hamster), 2608 nucleotides long. RefSeq lists it as uncharacterized. The record is from RefSeq and is a predicted model, not a curated record. Lineage: Eukaryota; Metazoa; Chordata; Mammalia; Rodentia; Cricetidae. The transcript has 3 exons.